RNAcentral lists this long non-coding RNA (1220 nucleotides) under Apteryx owenii (little spotted kiwi). RNAcentral's name for it is "lncRNA (ENSAOWG00000008784.1)". The record is from RNAcentral. Lineage: Eukaryota; Metazoa; Chordata; Aves; Apterygiformes; Apterygidae.
GACGUGGAAGCCACUUGGGCCUGUUUCGUUGGUGCCUUGUGACACGUGAGUGAGGUCGGGGGACGCGAGUGGGGUCGCGGGGACACGUGUGGGUCGCGCCGUGGGGCUGGGGGACACGUGUGGGUCACGGUGUGGGGCUGGGRGACACGUGUGGGGCUGGGGGUGGCACCGUGGGGACGUGGAAGCCGCCCGCGAGCGCUUCGCCGGUGCCCUGCGACACGUGAGUGGGGUCGGGGGACACGAGUGGGUCGUGGGGAAAACGUGUGGGUCGCGCCAUGGGGCUGGGGGACACGUGUGGGUCGCGGCGUGGGGCUGGGGGACACGUGUGAGUCACGGUGUGGGGCUGGGGGACACAUGUGGGUCACGGUGUGGCGCCGUGGGGACGUGGAAGCCACCUGGGCCUGUUUCGUUGGCGCCCUGCGACACGUGAGUGGGGUCCUGUGGGGCUGGGAGACACGUGUGGGUCACGGCGUGGGGCUGGGGGACACGUGUGGGUCUUGAUGUGGGACCAGGGGACACGUCUGGGUCUUGGCAGGGUGCCACGGGGACGUGGAAGCCACCUGGGCCUGUUUUGUUGGUGCUUUAUGACACGUGAGUGGGGUCGGGGGACACCAGUGGGUCGUGGGGACACGUGUGGGUCGCGCCGUGGGGCUGGGGGACACAUGUGGGGCUGGGGGACCCGCCUGGGCGAAGCGCGGUGGCGCCGCGGCGACGUGGAAGCCGCCCGCGAGUGCUUCGCCGGCGCCCUGCGACACGGCCCGGACAAGGAGGCGCUGCGCUGCCUGUCGAUGGCGCUGCGCCAGGCGGGCCGGGACGCCGGGGCCGUGCGCGAGAGCGUGGAACACGCCAAGGCGGCCGUGCGCCUCGACCCCGCCGACGGCCGCUCCUGGUGUGAGUCCCGCCCUCGCCACGCGUGGCCUUGGCGUGUGCUGCCGGGCGCCGAGCCCUUUCCUGCCGUCUGUGUGUGUGUGUGCUGGGUCCUUGGCGUGUGUUGGCGUGUGCUGGCGUGUGCUGAGCGCCUUCCCAGUGUGUGUAUGUGCGCUGGGGGGUCCUUAGCGUGUGUUAGCGUGUGCUGGCAUGUGCUGAGCGCCUUCCCGGUGUGUGUAUGUGCGCUGGGGGGUCCUUAGCGUGUGUUAGCGUGUGCUGGCAUGUGCUGAGCGCCUUCCCGGUGUGUGUAUGUGCGCUGGGAUGUCCUUAGCGUGUGUUGACGUGUGCUGGCG